GCCUGUUUUAUCAAAAACAUCGCCUCUUGCUAAACCAGAAAUAUAAGAGGUCCCGCCUGCCCUGUGACUAUAUGUUCAACGGCCGCGGUACUUUGACCGUGCGAAGGUAGCGCAAUCACUUGUCUCUUAAAUGGGGACCUGUAUGAAUGGCAUAACGAGGGCUUGACUGUCUCCUCUUUCAAGUCAAUGAAAUUGAUCUCCCCGUGCAGAAGCGGGGAUAGGCACAUAAGACGAGAAGACCCUAUGGAGCUUUAGACACUAAAGCAGAUCAGCAUUAAUACCCUGAACAUAGGGCACGAAUAUACUAAACCCUGCCCUAAUGUCUUAGGUUGGGGCGACCGCGGAGAAGUAAAAAACCCCCGCAAGGACUGAAUGUACUACAUUCACAACCAAGAGCGACAGCUCUAAUUAACAGACACUUCUGACCAAUAAGAUCCGGCAACGCCGAUUAAUGAACCAAGUUACCCUAGGGAUAACAGCGCAAUCUCCUCUUAGAGCCCAUAUCAACGAGGAGGUUUACGACCUCGAUGUUGGAUCAGGACAUCCUAAUGGUGCAGCCGCUAUUAAGGGUUCGUUUGUUCAACGAUUAAAGUCCUACGUGAUCUGAGUUCAGACCGGA
RNAcentral lists this ribosomal RNA (619 nucleotides) under Epinephelus undulosus (wavy-lined grouper). RNAcentral describes it as "partial 16S ribosomal RNA". It matches the Rfam family "Bacterial large subunit ribosomal RNA", at positions 1798 to 2620 of the family's 2925-position model. Lineage: Eukaryota; Metazoa; Chordata; Actinopteri; Perciformes; Serranidae. The record is from RNAcentral.